CCAGGGCACACCUGACACCAUAACCACUACAGUGUGUUGUAGUGGUUAUGGUGCUGGAAGUGUUCCUUUA
Pelobates cultripes (western spadefoot toad) is the source of this 70-nucleotide non-coding RNA. The record is from the annotation of a GenBank genome assembly. NCBI's taxonomy places the organism in Eukaryota, Metazoa, Chordata, Amphibia, Anura, Pelobatidae.